GGUUAAGCGACUAAGCGUACACGGUGGAUGCCCUGGCAGUCAGAGGCGAUGAAGGACGUGCUAAUCUGCGAAAAGCGUCGGUAAGGUGAUAUGAACCGUUAUAGCCGGCGAUGUCCGAAUGGGGAAACCCAGUGCAAUUCGUUGCACUAUCGUUAACUGAAUACAUAGGUUAACGAGGCGAACCGGGGGAACUGAAACAUCUAAGUACCCCGAGGAAAAGAAAUCAACCGAGAUUCCCCCAGUAGCGGCGAGCGAACGGGGAGCAGCCCAGAGUCUGAAUCAGCUUGUGUGUUAGUGGAACGGUCUGGAAAGUCCGACGGUACAGGGUGAUAGUCCCGUACACCAAAAUGCACAGGCUGUGAACUCGAAGAGUAGGGCGGGACACGUGGUAUCCUGUCUGAAUAUGGGGGGACCAUCCUCCAAGGCUAAAUACUCCUGACUGACCGAUAGUGAACCAGUACCGUGAGGGAAAGGCGAAAAGAACCCCGGCGAGGGGAGUGAAAAAGAACCUGAAACCGUGUACGUACAAGCAGUGGGAGCACCUUCGGGUGUGACUGCGUACCUUUUGUAUAAUGGGUCAGCGACUUAUAUUCUGUAGCAAGGUUAACCGUAUAGGGGAGCCGCAGGGAAACCGAGUCUUAACUGGGCGUUAAGUUGCAGGGUAUAGACCCGAAACCCGGUGAUCUAGCCAUGGGCAGGUUGAAGGUUGGGUAACACUAACUGGAGGACCGAACCGACUAAUGUUGAAAAAUUAGCGGAUGACUUGUGGCUGGGGGUGAAAGGCCAAUCAAACCGGGAGAUAGCUGGUUCUCCCCGAAAGCUAUUUAGGUAGCGCCUCGUGAACUCAUCUUCGGGGGUAGAGCACUGUUUCGGCUAGGGGGUCAUCCCGACUUACCAACCCGAUGCAAACUACGAAUACCGAAGAAUGUUAUCACGGGAGACACACGGCGGGUGCUAACGUCCGUCGUGAAGAGGGAAACAACCCAGACCGCCAGCUAAGGUCCCAAAGUCAUGGUUAAGUGGGAAACGAUGUGGGAAGGCACAGACAGCCAGGAUGUUGGCUUAGAAGCAGCCAUCAUUUAAAGAAAGCGUAAUAGCUCACUGGUCGAGUCGGCCUGCGCGGAAGAUGUAACGGGGCUAAACCAUGCACCGAAGCUGCGGCAGCGACACUAUGUGUUGUUGGGUAGGGGAGCGUUCUGUAAGCCUGCGAAGGUGUGCUGUGAGGCAUGCUGGAGGUAUCAGAAGUGCGAAUGCUGACAUAAGUAACGAUAAAGCGGGUGAAAAGCCCGCUCGCCGGAAGACCAAGGGUUCCUGUCCAACGUUAAUCGGGGCAGGGUGAGUCGACCCCUAAGGCGAGGCCGAAAGGCGUAGUCGAUGGGAAACAGGUUAAUAUUCCUGUACUUGGUGUUACUGCGAAGGGGGGACGGAGAAGGCUAUGUUAGCCGGGCGACGGUUGUCCCGGUUUAAGCAUGUAGGCUGGUUGUCCAGGCAAAUCCGGAUAAUCAAGGCUGAGGUGUGAUGACGAGGCACUACGGUGCUGAAGUAACAAAUGCCCUGCUUCCAGGAAAAGCCUCUAAGCAUCAGGUAACAUUAAAUCGUACCCCAAACCGACACAGGUGGUCAGGUAGAGAAUACCAAGGCGCUUGAGAGAACUCGGGUGAAGGAACUAGGCAAAAUGGUGCCGUAACUUCGGGAGAAGGCACGCUGGUGUGUAGGUGAAGCCCCUGCGGGUGGAGCUGAGACCAGUCGAAGAUACCAGCUGGCUGCAACUGUUUAUUAAAAACACAGCACUGUGCAAACACGAAAGUGGACGUAUACGGUGUGACGCCUGCCCGGUGCCGGAAGGUUAAUUGAUGGGGUUAUCCGUAAGGAGAAGCUCUUGAUCGAAGCCCCGGUAAACGGCGGCCGUAACUAUAACGGUCCUAAGGUAGCGAAAUUCCUUGUCGGGUAAGUUCCGACCUGCACGAAUGGCGUAAUGAUGGCCAGGCUGUCUCCACCCGAGACUCAGUGAAAUUGAACUCGCUGUGAAGAUGCAGUGUACCCGCGGCAAGACGGAAAGACCCCGUGAACCUUUACUAUAGCUUGACACUGAACAUUGAGCCUUGAUGUGUAGGAUAGGUGGGAGGCUUUGAAGCGUGGACGCCAGUCUGCGUGGAGCCAACCUUGAAAUACCACCCUUUAAUGUUUGAUGUUCUAACGUUGGCCCCUGACCGGGGUUGCGGACAGUGUCUGGUGGGUAGUUUGACUGGGGCGGUCUCCUCCCAAAGCGUAACGGAGGAGCACGAAGGUUAGCUAAUCCUGGUCGGACAUCAGGAGGUUAGUGCAAUGGCAUAAGCUAGCUUGACUGCGAGCGUGACGGCGCGAGCAGGUGCGAAAGCAGGUCAUAGUGAUCCGGUGGUUCUGAAUGGAAGGGCCAUCGCUCAACGGAUAAAAGGUACUCCGGGGAUAACAGGCUGAUACCGCCCAAGAGUUCAUAUCGACGGCGGUGUUUGGCACCUCGAUGUCGGCUCAUCACAUCCUGGGGCUGAAGUAGGUCCCAAGGGUAUGGCUGUUCGCCAUUUAAAGUGGUACGCGAGCUGGGUUUAGAACGUCGUGAGACAGUUCGGUCCCUAUCUGCCGUGGGCGCUGGAGAAUUGAGGGGGGCUGCUCCUAGUACGAGAGGACCGGAGUGGACGCAUCACUGGUGUUCGGGUUGUCAUGCCAAUGGCACUGCCCGGUAGCUAAAUGCGGAAGAGAUAAGUGCUGAAAGCAUCUAAGCACGAAACUUGCCCCGAGAUGAGUUCUCCCUGAGACUUUAAGUCUCCUGAAGGAACGUUGAAGACGACGACGUUGAUAGGCCGGGUGUGUAAGCGCAGCGAUGCGUUGAGCUAACCGGUACUAAUGAACCGUGAGGCUUAACCUU
RNAcentral lists this ribosomal RNA (2902 nucleotides) under Klebsiella pneumoniae. RNAcentral's name for it is "23S ribosomal RNA". It matches the Rfam family "Bacterial large subunit ribosomal RNA". The record is from RNAcentral. Lineage: Bacteria; Pseudomonadati; Pseudomonadota; Gammaproteobacteria; Enterobacterales; Enterobacteriaceae.